This 180-nucleotide ribosomal RNA is filed under the name Drosophila virilis. RNAcentral describes it as "5.8S ribosomal RNA". It matches the Rfam family "5.8S ribosomal RNA". From Rfam's summary of the family: 5.8S ribosomal RNA (5.8S rRNA) is a component of the large subunit of the eukaryotic ribosome. It is transcribed by RNA polymerase I as part of the 45S precursor that also contains 18S and 28S rRNA. The record is from Rfam by way of RNAcentral. Lineage: Eukaryota; Metazoa; Arthropoda; Insecta; Diptera; Drosophilidae.
CACUCUAAGCGGUGGAUCACUCGGCUCAUGGGUCGAUGAAGAACGCAGCAAACUGUGCGUCAUCGUUGUGAACUGCAUGACACAUGAACAUCGACAUUUUGAACGCAUAUCGCAGUCCAUGCUGUUUUGUACUUUAAUUAAUUUUAUAGUGCUGCUUGGACUACAUAUGGAUGAGGGUUG